Molecule: ribosomal RNA, 520 nt
Filed under: uncultured Glomeromycotina
Lineage: Eukaryota; Fungi; Glomeromycota
Description: SSU rRNA
Rfam family: Eukaryotic small subunit ribosomal RNA
Source: RNAcentral
AGCAGCCGCGGUAAUUCCAGCUCCAAUAGCGUAUAUUAAAGUUGUUGCAGUUAAAAAGCUCGUAGUUGAAUUUCGGGAUCAAUAUGUUGGUCGUGCCUUGGUACGUACUAAUUUAUUGGUUUCUUCCUUCUGACGAACCAUGAUGUCAUUAAUUUGGUGUUAUGGGGAAUCGGGACUGUUACUUUGAAAAAAUUAGAGUGUUUAAAGCAGGCUCACGCUUGAAUACAUUAGCAUGGAAUAAUGAAAUAGGACGUUUGAUUCUAUUUUGUUGGUUUCUAGGAUCGACGUAAUGAUUAAUAGGGAUAGUUGGGGGCAUUAGUAUUCAAUUGUCAGAGGUGAAAUUCUUGGAUUUAUUGAAGACUAACUACUGCGAAAGCAUUUGCCAAGGAUGUUUUCAUUAAUCAAGAACGAAAGUUAGGGGAAUCGAAGACGAUCAGAUACCGUCGUAGUCUUAACCAUAAACCUAUCCCGACUAGGGAUCGGAUGAUGUUAAUUUUUAAUGACUCAUUCGGCGCCUUAC